AUAUGGAAGUAAAAAUAUCAUUUUUCAUGAGAAUAAUUGUUCAACUAUUCGAUCAGAAUUUAUUCGAUCUUAUGGAGCACCCAAAGCAUUAAGAAAUCAAGAAGAGGCUUUGGCUGUCAAAAAAUUUUUAUUGUUUUUUAAUGAUAUUUCUUAUACAGUUCUAACGUUACCGCAAUUUCACCUCGAAUCAAUCGCCGAAUUGACUAAAUUAGUGGAUUUGGAUUAUAUUGGUUUUAUAUUUUAACGAUGUUUAGACGUUUUUGACAAAUUGAAAUACAUUAUUGAAGUGGACUUUGAGAAGGAAUCUACUCACAAAUCAUUCAUACGAUCUUGUUUGUGGCCAGUUUUUAUACAAAAUUUCCGUUUUAUGGUCAAAUUAAACCUAUUGUUCCCGGAUUACGAUUUGUGCCAAAAUAGCCCCGAAAUUGGCCAUUUUGUUAUUUUGAACGGUAGACUUUUCUCGAAUCACCCAGAUUCGCUUUCUCUCUUCUGGAAUGCAGACUUUAUUAACAUAACGGACAAUAUGAAUAAUUUCCGCAAACAAUUUUAUCUAAGUCUUAUUGGACAGGAUAAAGAUACCUUUAACAACGAAG
This is a long non-coding RNA of Octopus sinensis (East Asian common octopus), 593 nucleotides long. RefSeq lists it as uncharacterized. The record is from RefSeq and is a predicted model, not a curated record. The transcript has 3 exons. Lineage: Eukaryota; Metazoa; Mollusca; Cephalopoda; Octopoda; Octopodidae.